RNAcentral lists this ribosomal RNA (253 nucleotides) under uncultured bacterium. Its description in RNAcentral is "partial 16S ribosomal RNA". It matches the Rfam family "Bacterial small subunit ribosomal RNA", at positions 524 to 776 of the family's 1533-position model. The record is from RNAcentral.
UACGUAGGGGGCAAGCGUUAUCCGGAUUCACUGGGUGUAAAGGGAGCGUAGACGGCCAUGCAAGCCUGGAGUGAAAGCCCGGGGCCCAACCCCGGGACUGCUCUGGGAACUGUGCGGCUGGAGUGCGGGAGGGGCAGGCGGAAUUCCUGGUGUAGCGGUGAAAUGCGUAGAUAUUAGGAGGAACACCAGUGGCGAAGGCGGCCUGCUGGGCUUUAACUGACGCUGAGGCUCGAAAGCGUGGGGAGCAAACAGG